AGCAGCCGCGGUAAUUCCAGCUCCAAUAGCGUAUAUUAAAGUUGUUGCAGUUAAAAAGCUCGUAGUUGAAUUUUAGGCCUGGCCGGGCGGUCCGUCUUUGGCGAGUACUGUCUGUUGUCGGGUCUUCCUUCUGGUGAACCAAUAUGUCCUUUAUUGGGUGUGUUGGGGAGCCAGGACCAUUACCUUGAAAAAAUUAGAGUGUUUAAAGCAGGCUUUUGCUUGAAUAGAUUAGCAUGGAAUAAUAGAAUAGGACGUUGUGGUUCUAUUUUGUUGGUUUCUAGGACCACCGUAAUGAUUAAUAGGGAUAGUUGGGGGCAUUAGUAUUCAAUUGUCAGAGGUGAAAUUCUUGGAUUUAUUGAAGACUAACUAUUGCGAAAGCAUUUGCCAAGGAUGUUUUCAUUAAUCAAGAACGAAAGUUAGGGGAUCGAAGACGAUCAGAUACCGUCGUAGUCUUAACCAUAAACUAUGCCGACUAGGAAUCGGGCGACGUUAUUUUAAUGACUCGCUCGGCGCCUUAUG
Molecule: ribosomal RNA, 519 nt
Filed under: uncultured Archaeospora
Lineage: Eukaryota; Fungi; Glomeromycota; Glomeromycetes; Archaeosporales; Archaeosporaceae
Description: SSU rRNA
Rfam family: Eukaryotic small subunit ribosomal RNA
Source: RNAcentral